UACGUAGGCAGCGAGCGUUGUUCGGAAUUACUGGGCGUAAAGAGUGUGUAGGCGGUGCUCCCAGUCUGUUGUGAAAUCUCCCGGCUUAACUGGGAGGGUGCAGCGGAAACUAGAGUGCUAGAGGGUGGGAGAGUAAGCGGAAUCCUGGUGUAGCGGUGAAAUGCGUAGAUAUCAGGAGGAACACCGUGUGGUGUAGACAGCUUACUGGACCACUUCUGACGCUGAGACACGAAAGCGUGGGUGCAAACAGG
This 251-nucleotide ribosomal RNA is filed under the name uncultured bacterium. RNAcentral's name for it is "partial 16S ribosomal RNA". It matches the Rfam family "Bacterial small subunit ribosomal RNA", at positions 524 to 776 of the family's 1533-position model. The record is from RNAcentral.